UGGGGAAUCUUGGACAAUGGGGGCAACCCUGAUCCAGCCAUGCCGCGUGAGUGAUGAAGGCCUUAGGGUCGUAAAGCUCUUUCGCCUGUGAAGAUAAUGACGGUAGCAGGUAAAGAAACCCCGGCUAACUCCGUGCCAGCAGCCGCGGUAAUACGGAGGGGGUUAGCGUUGUUCGGAAUUACUGGGCGUAAAGCGCACGUAGGCGGACCAGAAAGUUGGGGGUGAAAUCCCGGGGGCUCAACCCCCGGAACUGCCUCCAAAACUAUUGGUCUAGAGUUCGAGAGAGGUGAGUGGAAUUCCAAGUGUAGAGGUGAAAUUCGUAGAUAUUUGGAGGAACACCAGUGGCGAAGGCGGCUCACUGGCUCGAUACUGACGCUGAGGUGCGAAAAGUGUGGGGAGCAAAACAGGAUUAGAUACCCCUGGUAGUCCACACCGUAAAACGAUGAAUGCCAGUCGUCGGGUAGCAUGCUAUUCGGUGACACACCUAACGGAUUAAGCAUUCCGCCUGGGGAGUACGGUCGCAAGAUUAAAAA
RNAcentral lists this ribosomal RNA (533 nucleotides) under uncultured bacterium. Its description in RNAcentral is "bacterial SSU rRNA". It matches the Rfam family "Bacterial small subunit ribosomal RNA", at positions 355 to 900 of the family's 1533-position model. The record is from RNAcentral.